AGUGAACGCUGGCGGUAGGCCUAACACAUGCAAGUCGAACGGCAGCACAGUAAGAGCUUGCUCUUACGGGUGGCGAGUGGCGGACGGGUGAGGAAUACAUCGGAAUCUACUUUUUCGUGGGGGAUAACGUAGGGAAACUUACGCUAAUACCGCAUACGACCUACGGGUGAAAGCAGGGGAUCUUCGGACCUUGCGCGAUUGAAUGAGCCGAUGUCGGAUUAGCUAGUUGGCGGGGUAAAGGCCCACCAAGGCGACGAUCCGUAGCUGGUCUGAGAGGAUGAUCAGCCACACUGGAACUGAGACACGGUCCAGACUCCUACGGGAGGCAGCAGUGGGGAAUAUUGGACAAUGGGCGCAAGCCUGAUCCAGCCAUACCGCGUGGGUGAAGAAGGCCUUCGGGUUGUAAAGCCCUUUUGUUGGGAAAGAAAAGCAGCAGGUUAAUACCCCGCUGUUCUGACGGUACCCAAAGAAUAGCACCGGCUAACUUCGUG
This 491-nucleotide ribosomal RNA is filed under the name uncultured bacterium. RNAcentral's name for it is "partial 16S ribosomal RNA". It matches the Rfam family "Bacterial small subunit ribosomal RNA", at positions 29 to 507 of the family's 1533-position model. The record is from RNAcentral.